Long non-coding RNA from Mauremys reevesii (Reeves's turtle), 721 nucleotides. RefSeq lists it as uncharacterized. The transcript has 4 exons. Lineage: Eukaryota; Metazoa; Chordata; Testudines; Geoemydidae. The record is from RefSeq and is a predicted model, not a curated record.
GUUGAAGCAGCACUGGUGGAGAAGUUAAGGAGAGGCUGGGACCUGGAGUAGUGUGUGGGCCCAGGUCUCUCCCCUGGCCCCCUCCCAUUUGCCACUGGAGAAGUGACUGGACUGGAGUGGGAGAUACUUCCCCUCUGGAAGGGGGAAAACAUGGACAGUGACUUAGCUGCAGGUCUAAGUCAGGAAGAGGAUGCUGCAGUACUUGGACUGAGGUGGGUCUGCAGGUGGAGAUGGUAACAGGACAGACACCAGGUGCACUGCCUGAGAGAGCUAAUCCCCAAGACUGCCAGCAGGAGGUGCUGCUCUGGUGUAACUUGUUGGCAGCUCAGAGACAAGAAAGGACAGGUGACAACAAUCCCAGCUCAACACUAUUGUAUUCUACCAAGUUAUGUUGCCCUAGUCACAACACUUGGAGGAAGUUCCACACAAACAGAGGAAGCAGAAUUUGUUCUGAGAAGAAAUUAGUAGCUGCAUUACUACCCUCUCAGCACUGAUGCCUACAGAAGAUAAAACCUGGGAAAAGUCCUCAGGAGGAAGCUGCAUGAUGGAAAGGAACAUGAUGACGGAAAGGAAAAUGCAGGAUCUUCAGGCCAUGGGGUAAAGACACCACAACCACCAUUCCUGAAGGAUUUUGAGCCAUCAGUGUACACAUGAAUUUGUUUGCCGUGUGACCCUCACUGUGGUAGUGGGGUGUUCCUAAAGGAACUCUCUGGCUACCAUA